RNAcentral lists this ribosomal RNA (404 nucleotides) under uncultured bacterium. Its description in RNAcentral is "bacterial SSU rRNA". It matches the Rfam family "Bacterial small subunit ribosomal RNA", at positions 355 to 776 of the family's 1533-position model. The record is from RNAcentral.
UGGGGAAUAUUGCACAAUGGGGGAAACCCUGAUGCAGCGACGCCGCGUGAAGGAAGAAGUAUUUCGGUAUGUAAACUUCUAUCAGCAGGGAAGAAAAAGACGGUACCUGACUAAGAAGUCCCGGCUAACUACGUGCCAGCAGCCGCGGUAAUACGUAGGGGGCAAGCGUUAUCCGGAUUUACUGGGUGUAAAGGGAGCGCAGGCGGUAAUCCAAGCCAGAUGUGAAAGGCCGGGGCUCAACCCCGGGAGUGCAUUUGGAACUGGAUAACUAGAGUGUUGGAGAGGUAAGCGGAAUUCCUAGUGUAGCGGUGAAAUGCGUAGAUAUUAGGAGGAACACCAGUGGCGAAGGCGGCUUACUGGACAACAACUGACGCUGAGGCUCGAAAGCGUGGGGAGCAAACAGG